This 70-nucleotide transfer RNA is filed under the name Scolytinae sp. BMNH 1040075. RNAcentral's name for it is "tRNA-Gln". It matches the Rfam family "tRNA". From Rfam's summary of the family: Transfer RNA (tRNA) molecules are approximately 80 nucleotides in length. Their secondary structure includes four short double-helical elements and three loops (D, anti-codon, and T loops). Lineage: Eukaryota; Metazoa; Arthropoda; Insecta; Coleoptera; Curculionidae. The record is from RNAcentral.
UAUACUUUAGUAUAAUUAUGUGCAAUAGUUUUUGAUACUAUAGGAAAUAGUUUAAAUCUAUUAAGUGUAA